This 641-nucleotide long non-coding RNA is filed under the name Marmota monax (woodchuck). The record is from RNAcentral. Lineage: Eukaryota; Metazoa; Chordata; Mammalia; Rodentia; Sciuridae.
AAAGCAUUUUGCAUGAUUUCAUGCUCAGUGAGAGAAUUUUGUGGAAAAUAUUCCUGUGGCUUUUAUAAGUAAAAUAGUAUCAGAGGUCUGGGGCUGUAGCUCAGUGGCAGAGCACUUGACUAGCACAUGUGAGGCACUGCGUUUGAUCCUCAGCACCACAUAAAAAAAUAAAUAAAAUAAAGGCAUACUUUGCAUAUAUAACUACAAAAAUUUUUAAAAAUAGUAUUAGAAACUCUUUUAUAUAUUUUAAUAAAAAUAUAUCUUAUAUUUUGAUGAAUUUUAGCAGUUCCAUCUAUACACACCUGAUAUUCUUUGAGGACAUUUGAGAGGAAAACAUACCCUCAGGAAUUUGAAAAAACCUGUUGGUGUAUUUAUAUAAGUAUCAUUUUUAAAUAUCUCUUAAUUUAAAUAAUUUCUCUAUGAAUUACUAUUUCAACACCAACACUGUUUGAAUUUGACAGUAGGACAAAGAGUUGUCAGAAUCUAUAUUUGUGGUAAAGCCCUGGAAAUUACUACUGUCAGCAAAUUUAAACAGAUUGUGAUAUAAAAGGAAAAAGUUUCUUUGAUUUUUACAGAACUACUAUGCUUUAAAGUGAUUUCUACAGUUGAAAAAUGUGUAUUGAGGACUGAGGUGUGGCUCA